Manis pentadactyla (Chinese pangolin) is the source of this 9362-nucleotide long non-coding RNA. RefSeq lists it as uncharacterized. The record is from RefSeq and is a predicted model, not a curated record. The transcript has 2 exons. Lineage: Eukaryota; Metazoa; Chordata; Mammalia; Pholidota; Manidae.
GGGAGGCAAUAUGAUUUAUUAAGUGCUGUAUUUAUGUGUGUGUCCCUCCGAUUUAGAGGAGGCUGCUUCUGCCGCAAAUGCAGCUGACAAGCUUUGUUUGCUGACAAGCCAUGCCGCCUUUGAUGCAUAACUGCGGUGUGCUUCAGUUUCUUCAUCUCACUAAUCCGCACCCAGAGUGGUGUGCAGGUUAACUGACAUGAUGCAAGUGAAAGUGUUUUUAUGCUCUUAAAGCACUAUAAAUGCAAGGGCUGCGUCUGGGAGGGCUUUCUCCAAGCAGAUGUAGAACUUCUUGGGACACACCCAGGCUUAGCCCUUGGAUGGUUCAGUCAGAUUUAGAAUGUGCAUUUGGUGGGUGCCUGGCCUUGACCCCACAAUUUGGGAGUCCUCAAGGAGUCAGUGUUAAUUUUGAGCCCUUCAACUCUUGGGAGCAGAGACAGUCCCGCCUGAAGGGUGUUAGAACUGGGAGCUUCUUAGUCCUGUUGUAUUGAGCAAGAUCAUAGUCCUUAGAAAACCACCCAGUAUUUAGAGCUUGGGGUAGGGGAAGGAAAGUUCUCUAUAGGAAAAUUCAGGUCAGACAUCAGUUAAAUAACAGUGUUUUGUAGACCAUUAAUUUGGCCAUAUGGUCGAAUGCCACACAGCAGUUUUGCAAAGGUCUGUUUUCAGAGUAAUUCCUAGUAUUUCAUGAAUUUUAAGUGGUAGUAAUUGCAGUAUGAAAGUCUAGCUUGAGAUCUAAUUUGUGUGAGGUUGACCAGAUGACCACUCCUGGGUUCUGCUCAGUCAGAUGAGACCUAGGGCCAGUUACCCAUUUGCGUCUCUGGGCCUCGGGAUGCCCAUUUAUAAAUCUAGGGUUUGGACUUUGGUCUCCAGGAUCAUUGUCAGCUCUCUUUAGUUGUAUGUUUUGAAUGCAACUUAAUGACCAAUCAACAUCUGUUACUGAGAGAUGCAUCCCUAGAGAGAGUGGCCUUUCCUGGUCUUUUAAGCUGUUAGUAGAUGGGUCAGCCUGGCUGGACUUGAUUUUUCUUUGAAGUUUACCUUGUCUGUUAGGCUGAGAGGUUGCCGAUUUUGCCUGACACACUUGAGGGUCUCACCUUUGGAGACUUUGUCUAGCCUCUGUCUUCCGUGCAUGCACCACAGCCCCUGCCACUGUUCCAGAAGCUCCAGUGGCACCAGCCAAGGUUAGCUUGGCCUGGAGCAAGGCUGGGCCUGGUCGGAUGGCUGACAGAAUACUGUUUGCUGGCCAACUGACUAUAUAUGAAGCUUAUUCUCUUCUUUAACCUUAACUUUUGUUAAAAGAUAGUAGGAGGGGCCGAUUCUGAAAUGAUUCUGAAAUUAAUGUAGGAGACCUGGUACAGUUAGUAUGCUUUUUUGAGUAGCACGUACCAAUAUGACUGAAGGACAGAUGAGUUGGAAAUAAUGGGGAAAUGGUGCUCUCACACAUUGCUGGUGGGAGUGUAAGAGGUACAGCCUCUGUGUAGAGCUAUUGGCAGUAUCUGUCAUAAUUAAAAAUGGAUAUACUCUUUGAUCCAGCAGUCCCACUUCAUAUAUUAUCCCACAGGUUCCCCAUAUAUUCAUGACAUAAUUUAUGUACGAGGAUAUUCAUUAUAGCAUUUUUUGUAAUAACAGAAGAUUAGAAAUAAUUUAAAAGCCCAAUGAGGGACUAAUUAAUUAUAAAUAUUAUUAUUGUGUAUCUUUAUAAUGAAAUACUUCUCGGCCAUUGAAAGUAAUGAAACUAACUCUAUGCCCUGAUGUAGAACCAUCUCUAAAUAUUUUAAAUAGGGAGAAAUAAGUGUGAAGUACUAUGAUUAUAUGCUGUUUUGUGUGUCUAUGUAUGUGCAUUAGAACAGCUUCCUAAGAAAACAAAAAGAUGUCAGUGGUUGCCCUGAGAGGAGGGGUAACUUGGAGAUUACUUUUGCAACUUUUAGUUUUUGUACGAUAUGUAUGUGCUAUCUGUUGAAAAAAGACAUUGUCAUGCCCUAAAGGAGUUUACACUUUAGUCAGACCAUUGUAGAAAAGCCCAGAUGGGACGCGUAAAGUAUAGGGUAAAUAUUGGCUUUAUGGGAAGAUUGAUUAAGAAACUCUCUUUCUGCAGCUAAGUCGACCUGCUGUGCCUGUGAGUCAUCAGGACAGGCAGGUCUGACAGUAUCAAGAGGGCCAACUUCCAAGUGUCAGUGCCCUGCCUGGGGAGAGGGCACCAGGGUGAAAGCAGUUUCCAGACCUUGUCCUGUAAAGGUGUGAACCAGAACAUCAAGGAGCCGCACCGCGGUGUGGGAAGAGCUUGGCAGGCUCAGCACCAGUUCAAGGUUGGAGUCCUGGCUCUGCCACUUGUCGAACAUGUGAUUUGGAGUAGGGUGGUUCAGUGCUGAAAGCCUGAAUGUGCUCAUCCAUAAAUGAAGAUAAACCACCUCCCUGUGCUGCUGCAGCGAAGCUUGAAUGAGCCACUGCCCACAAACGCUCCUGUAAAGUGAUUUGCAAACGGCAGCUGUGAUAGAUGCUGUUAGGUACCUGCAGGCUGGCAAGCUGGAGUGGAGCAGGAAAUAGAUGCUCAUUAAAAAAUUGAAGUGAAGCAAAAAUAUAUUUCUUUCUCUUUGCCAAAUAACUUACCAAGAGUUGCCAAAUCAGAAAAAGUGGAUUGAAGGUAGUUUUACAAUCGUUGACCAAGUUGUCUCACCCUUUAAAUUUUUCCCUAUUUGAAAAAUAAACGGGGCUGUUUGUGAGUCCGGUGGUCCCCUGCAGAUGUAGCAUUCCCGGACAGUGUGGCAUUAGUAGUUCCCAUCGCGGCUGAGGUGAGUCAUGCUGACUGAAAACUCUAAAUGUGAGGAGGAAGUCUCUUUGUUUUUGGAAGUUUUUCUUGGGCUGGAGAAUCUGAGCCUCUGUCGGAGUUUUGGGAAAGUGGGGGAACACUGCUGCCACCAAGAGGGGAGAUGAAGCAGACCUACAGUGAGUGGACAUGGAGCCAUAGCAUGUUUUUUUCACCUCUAAUGCUUGCUUGCAAAUGUUCACCUGGACUAGGCCUUUGGAAACCAGGUUUAACCCUUGUUCGUUUGGUAGAAUGUUCAUAGCAGUUGUGACUUGGGUGCUUUGCCAGCUGCCACUUGUCUGUGAGGUCUUUCUGUGAAGUUUUGGGAUACUUCCUCCAUGCUGCCUUGGCCCCUACGCCUCUCAUCACAUUUCAAAACUAACCUCAGAGACUGUCUGUUUGCCUUUGCGUCCUCAGCACCUCGCACAGUUCCUGGUGCCUGAGAGGUAAUCCAGGCAAGGGUAUCAGAUGGGUGGAUGGAUUAAUGAUCCACUUGGGGUAGCAAGUAUACUAUAUCUUGCUGAUCUUGACCACCACCUUUACUAUAACUACCACCAUUCUGGUAAAAUGAAGUUUUAGCCAUUAAUAGCUUAUUAUUUCAAGAAAUAAUUCAUACUCAAAUUAAGUCCAUGCUGAAAAAAACAAAACAGGAUGCUUGGAAUGUAUUUUAACGUUUUGUUUUAUGCAAUUAAAAAAAAAAGAAACAAAGGCCAAGUUUUGGUCAUACAUACUACAAUAUAUAACGUAUAUCUAAAGUUCAUCACCUCUACCGUCUCUGGCACACAAGGUCUUUGGCUGACACCAAUAAACAGCGUACAGUACUUAAAAGCCUGGGUGACUGUCCUCUUUCUUACCUUUUUAACCUAAUUGUAGGCAGUUAAGUCUCCAAACAAGCUUUAAGAUUGAAAUAAUUUCUUUUUACAAAUGUGGGAGGCAAAGUGGGUAAAGUCUUGCAGGGAGUUGAGAAGUGGCUGUAAAGAGCCCUAAUCGUUCAUUGUGCUGGACCACUGCCCUCCGACAUGGGGACACGCUGUGAGGAGGAGGAUGGGCAAGCUGGGCUGUUGGACUUCAAGGUGGGUAGCUGAGCCGCCUGGUUAGCCCACACCCAGCUAACUUAAGUGUACAUUAGGUAAAGUAGGUUAGGGAGUUAGAUCCAGUGUGCUUGAAGGUUCUGUUGGUAAUAGGUGGGGGAGGGGGCGUUGGGGCGUUUCCCUGUGGGAUCAUUCUAAUAGUGAUGAAAGACUGACUUUGCAAAUGUCCUUUCAUGUGUGGAGCAUGGCAUGCAGAACUGCAUACACACAUGGCCUGUUCAAAAAUGGGGAAGAGAAGAGAAAAAUGUAGCCUGAAGUUUGCUUAUCAAACCAAGCCAUUCUCUGACACAGUAGUGAUGACCCUUAGCACAAGUCCUUUUGAGCCUCAGCGGCAGCAUCCUGCUCCAGUACAGACAACCAGAGAGAGGGACCACUGGGAUCUGGGUGUGAGGUAUCCAUGGGCAAGUCAGGUCCAUGCACUCUUUGUAGCAGGUGAGAUUACCUGCUAUUUUGGAAAUUAACUGUUGUUUCUGAUUUAUUUUUGGCCAAAUCCUAGGUGCCUAUUGAGAAAAGAAAUAGUCCAAGUUCCUAUUCUUUUGCUUUCCAUGUUUGCUUUAUCUUUGCAUCAUGCUUUGCAGUUCACAGACAAGAGGAAUGGGUAAGGGUUGCAGUAAACCGGCAGGAUCAUAUUUCUUAGAUUGAGUCAUUGCUGAGAAACUUGUUUGUGAACAGGAAGCAGCCCAUGAAAAUGUCUGUACAUAGUAAUGUGCCAGACUGUGAGGAAACUGGACCAUUUAAAAAAUAAUGGUCAGUUAUUUUUAAAAACGGAGCUGUAGUUAUACAGAAGUUAACCCAGCAAUAUUUACACUUGGCGUAGAUGACUCUGGGGCCCCUUUCAUCUGUAACAUUCUGUGAUUCCCUUUAUUUUCUGUGGUUCCUCAUUUUUAAUCACCUACUUCUCAAUUAUCGUAGCAAUGUAUUACAAAGUCAGCCAGUCAGUCCAGUAGAACCAAGUGUUUGAGCGUGGGCAAGCCUUGAAUGAUCUGUCACUUGCCUUCACUAGAAUUCUCACUGAGAAAACAAUGGCAUUGUGUUGUGUAUCAUCUUUUAAUGAAGCACUAGUAGAGAAGCAAAGAGAAGUACAGCGGUAGGUAAGUAUGAAUUAUAAUAGUUACCAGUGAGAUGUAUUUUAAAAACACCUGCUUGGUGUCAUUUUACUUUAGUAAAGAUUGUGACUGCAGAGAAGAACCUUGUGGCUAAAGGAGAUCUUUUUUGUUGUUUUAUCAACUUCGAAAUUCAGGAAUGCCCUCAGCUGUUUUUCGUAGCCUCCUAUAGCUUAAUUUGGUUUGUACUCAGAUGGACGAUGUGAUUCAUGUAACACUGUUUUACUCAGAAAUAUUUGAGCAGCUUCUGUGGGAAAGAAAAUAUUAAACCAGAUUCAGCUAAAUAAUACAACCAUCUGGACAUAAUAUAAAGACUGAAAUGUAUGAAAGAAAAACAUUACCAGGUGUAACUUAGAUUCUGAAUGCUAAUAAUUAGUAUUUGGAUGGAAGAGAACUCUCAGGGAAAUACACCAACAGAAACUUCUUUAUUAUUUUCUUAACGGAAAUAACGUGAUUUUAAGAAAGAAUAACUUGAGACAUUGUCUUAAACCCUGAUACUCUAAAAUUGGAAAUUGGAAAUGAACAUCAGUUUUCAUUUACCGUUUACAAAAUUAAUCUGUGCGAUUAAUAUUUUUAACAUUUUAUUGGUCAGAUUUAUUUUGAGAAAGAAACCUCCCACCACCUUCCCAUCAUUCUCCGGACAAAACAGAGGAUAGGAGAGGGAAGGGAGUAAAGGGGGUUGGGAGGUGCGAGCCUCAUUUACGGAUCUCAGUGUGUAAUAGAAAACAUCUUAUUUUUCCAAAGCCUCAGUCUAAAAAUUAAUUAGGAGGAGAUGGUGGUAUCUUUCUUUAUCUUUUCUGAUAUUUUUGGAUCAUCUGAGCACGAUAAAUGAUAGUUUGUUCAAGGUACUGUAAUUGGCUGCAAAAGGCAUAUUUGGUGUUCAAGGCCUUUCUUCAUUGUUUAUCCUGGAACAAAGAUGUUUGUUGUAAAGUGGUAUGAGUUUCAUGGUCCAACUUAAGAUUUCCCAUAAAAUGUGUAAGAGCGUACCCAGAUGGCAAAUAAUGAUAUAUAUCUUUUAAAAUGAAUAUUUCCUUUGGGCCAGAUGGUGACUUAACGCAAAUUGUUGAACAUUUGUUUCUUAUUAAAUUGUCUUCCUUUGUCUAAGCCAAGCUAGCAACAUAGUUUGGAACACACUCAGAAAUCAUUAAGGAACAAGAACAAAAAAAAUAGACUGCCUUAGACACUAAGGCAGACAGCAUUUGCUCCAUUUGGAUGUGAAGGCUUACUACCAGUGCCUGCGCAGCCGAGGAGGCUUUUUCACAGGUCCUAAGGAAGUACCUGUUGAAACGCUGUACAUACCAUUCCCCCACUUGCCUCUCCCUCCCCUGAUUCUUCCUAACAGCCAUUUUGUAUGGUGACCUUCCUCGUGGGACUUAGAGGGGUUGCUGUUCUUUCUCAGUGCCUGGGAUUUAUGCACAAAGAGCAGCUUUAGGUCUUCUUACACAUUUCCCUUCCCCACUGUCUGUUGUUAUGCUCUUGUUUGUUAGGGACUACUUCCUUUUAGAUGGUACUGGACCUUUGCAGAGAGAUGGGUCCUUUGUGAAAUACGUCAUGUGCCCAGCCACAGGGCUCCCCUACAGGAAACCCUCACUGCCUUUUAGGUUAGCACAGAACACAGUCCUGAGCCUAUGGGGCUCCCAACAGUGGGUCUUGGGUGGACAGAUUUUUCUGUCGUUCAUAUUUUCAACAUAAAGCAAGCUUUGGACACUUCACACAGUAUCAAAUCCCUGAAGUUUUUUUCUUCUGAAACUUAAGUGAAAAUGAGUAACACAGCAUGACAUAUUUAAAGCCAUGAGAAGAAACCCAUAGUUGCUGCAUUCUAAAUUGAAUGAGAACUUGUUUUAAUGAAUUCAGAGUAGUUAAAACGCAGAUUAUUUAAAAGUCUUAGUUUUCUUUUAGAGUUCUCUUGCUAAGAAUAAACAUUAUAUAAACAUAAGCUUAAAAAUACAGAGAAAAACCUGAAACACUUUGCAACCUGUUCUGGGUCCCAUUGAAGGUUGCCCCGCCUGGAUUAAGGACAGUUAGAUGUUUUUAUUUGAAACAUCUUUUGGUGGCAUUCUGGGUGGAGCCAGUAGGCUAAGGCUGUAUGAGCUGCUCUGCCUGCAGCAUUGUUUAGUGUGAGAUAAGGAGAACAGGGUGCUGAAGAGCUGAUCCAAAUGAUGUGUCAAAUGUUUUUUUGUUUGUUUGUCAAUAAGUAUCCAUCAAGGUGUCCUUUUCUGAUCAUGUUAUGGGAAGUCUUUAAAAAUCAAGUCAGUGUGGAGCUGUGCAGUGAAGGGUCAUCAGGAAUCCAGCAGCAAUUGAGUGGGUUUAUGUGUGUACAGGAAAGUAUACAUGAAAGCAUAAAGUCAUUUAUUUUUAUUUAUAGCACAUGUUACACAUGCCUGGUAGGUAAUUUCAGACAUUUCCCGAGGAGGAGCCAAGUAACUUCAUUGCUGAGUGUUUUUUCUGCUCCCACUACAGUUAGGUCCACAACUUCAUUUUUCUCCACUGGCUUGGAGUUUGGCUGGGCUUAUCACAAGUAGUUGGGGCCCAUCGCUGUCAACAUGCAUAACAUUUGCAUAAAUACUCUACAUUUACGGAUUUCUUGCAUGAUUCAUUUGAUCCACCAAUAUCUGUAUGAUAGGAAUAGGAUAGAACAAUUUUACUAAAUUUAUAGCUAAACUAUCUGAAUCCACUCAACAUCACAUCUGAUGGGGAAGAUAUCUGAGGGAAAAGUGAAGAAUAGAAAUAUAUAAACUCUUGUGUGAUUACCACUAGUAAUUUUAGAGUAAAUUACAUUUCCUCCAGCCCAUAGGGCUGGGUUCUAGAGAUACUUUGGAAUAGUCAGAUUUGGGUUUAGGCAUUUCUAACCUAAAUUGCUUCAGUGCUCUUUCGGUUCUUUUAUGAAAAAGUCAAAAGUGGGUACUGGUUUUUAUCCUGGGGUCUCUUAAUAAGUAGUAACCCCAGGCCUAGGCAGUCUGGGGAAAGUGACGGAGGGAUGUGACAGAGUGGUCCUCAGUGUUUGCGUUUCUCUUUCAUUCAUUCCUGAAGAGCUCAGCACACUUUGUGCAUUAGUUUUUGAGAGGGAUAAGAGCAGGUAGUGUUCUGUAGAGAGAGAAGCUAAGAGUUCAGUAUGAAUAUACACUGCACCUCGUUAAUACUGUGGCUUCUUAGCUCCUAUUUGGAGAACAGCCUGGAAUAGGAUACUGUGCUGUGCUGAUUCACCGAGAAGGUACGGCCCAACCUAAUCAAAAUUUUAAGUAGGUUUCUCUGUACCUUGGAUCUUUCUCUUUCACAUGACCUUUGGGUAAACAUGUCCAUUAAAAUGGAAACAGGUUGUUUUUAUUAAAGUGUGAAUUAUUCUCAUGCUUUAUUUAGCAUGAGUAACACAGCCCCCUGAGAAGAUAGCCAUGUAUAACUAAAUUCUCUGCAGUUGUCGCUCAUGGCCAGCAAAAUGGCCCAGAGGACAUGUGCUCAAUCUGUCUGUGAAGAGCCACUUCUUCACUCAACAGUAUGUCAAGGCAAAGUAUAUGUAUGACAAUGGAUUUUAUAUUCUGCCAAGGUUAGGAACCACUGGCCAAGGACCAGAUUUUAUAUUUUUGGUGUAAGCUAGUGUUUAAGAAAGCAUGAGUCCCAAGAUGGAGGCUGCCUGGGUACAUGUCCCUGUUCAGCCACCUCCUUGUAGAAUCCCUGCUUUCUAAACCUCAAUAUUCUUACCUGUAAAAUAAGGAUAUAUGUGACCUUUAUAUGACUGUUUUGAGUAUUAGUUUGUAUAUUAUUUAAAGUAUUCCAAACAAUGCUUGACAUAAAAGAACUUAAUAGGUGUUGGUUUAACAAUAGGUAUACCCUGGCCAGAUCUAAGGAACUACAGGUGCUGUUUCAACUAGCUCUAGUGUAUGUGCUUUAUACUGUUACACUGCUCAAGACUCAGAUGAUGGUGAAUACCCUUGAAGAGGGUUUCACACCAUUUAAGAUUUCUAACACCGACUUUGUAUCAGGGCCAGAGGCGGCCUCUGCUAUUCAGACAAGCUGUACUGACUAGGCUGGUGGCCUGCUCUUCCUUUGUUGGGUGAAAAUAGUCUUGACAGCUCACUGAAGCACCAGCCAGGUUAUUUUUGGCCUUGGAAGGCUGAAAGUAGUAGAGCUGUAGACAUACUGGGCAGCCUGGUGUUGCCAGCCAUCACCAGAACCAAAAUACAAAGUUUGAAUCUCCUGGCCUUCAGGCCCCAACUCCCUUUCCCCCAUGUCUUGAUUUUUGUAGUCUCAAUCUCAUUAUUUGCAGUAUAGAUGACUGGUUAAAUGGAAACUAAAUUUCCUACUAGUGUAGACUUUUCAAAAAACUAAAAUUGUAAGUCAAGAAAAUUGCUUUGGACAUAAGUGAUUAGGAAAAUC